RNAcentral lists this ribosomal RNA (468 nucleotides) under uncultured bacterium. RNAcentral's name for it is "partial 16S ribosomal RNA". It matches the Rfam family "Bacterial small subunit ribosomal RNA", at positions 28 to 507 of the family's 1533-position model. The record is from RNAcentral.
GACGAACGCUGGCGGCGUGCUUAACACAUGCAAGUCGAACGGAAAGGCCCUGCUUUUGUGGGUUGCUCGAGUGGCGAACGGGUGAGUAACACGUGAGUAACCUGCCCUUGACUUUGGGAUAACUUCAGGAAACUGGGGCUAAUACCGGAUAGGAGCUCCUGCUGCAUGGUGGGGGUUGGUAAGUUUCGGCGUUUGGGGAUGGUCUGGCGGCUUAUCGGCUUGUUGGUGGGGUAGUGGCUUACCAAGGCUUUGACGGGUAGCCGGCUUGAGCGGGUACCCGGCGCCCUGGGGCCUAAGAGAGGCCCCAGACGCGAACGGGCGGCAGAGGGGGGAAAUAUGGCGCAAUGGCGGCACGCCUGUUGAGACAAGCCCGGGAGCGGAAAACCGUCCUACGGGUGAAAAACCACUUUGUACGUUACCAAGCACUGAGUGACGGUAAUGGGUAAAGAAGCACCGGCUAACUACGUG